This 536-nucleotide long non-coding RNA is filed under the name Gopherus agassizii (Agassiz's desert tortoise). RNAcentral describes it as "lncRNA (ENSGAGG00000002322.1)". The record is from RNAcentral. Lineage: Eukaryota; Metazoa; Chordata; Testudines; Testudinidae.
CUCUGGCACAGUAUGUAGGCAAUACGCCUUAAUGCUGGCAUAGUUUAUAUAUACAUCCAUUUUCAGAUGCUUUGACUCUGACUGAUGUAAAAGUACUCUAUUGUAAAUGAGAUUCAGGCCCUCAAAUCUGAGCGAGAAUGUCACCCUAGAUCCUAAACUGGCUUCUCUAUGUAUUUUGUAUCUCUCUCUCUCUCUUUUCUAGCUUAGCAGAUGAAAGAAAACAAUCUCUCAUCCUAAGGAAAGAGGAGAGCUAUGGGCAGACCACACACAUCAACCACACUCUUCUCUCUCCGCUGUCUCCUCAGCCGUUCAUGUGGCAAAGGUGUUAUGUAGGCUAACACAUGCAAAGCUGUGCGCACAGUGCUUGCAAGGCAUCAGUGGGCCCAUGAAAAUGAGCUUCCCACCACUUGCUGUGCUAUGCUAGCUGGCUUGAUUUGUCGCAUUCACCAUUGAAUAAUGCUGGUGCCUGCCUAUGGAGGUAUGGUAAGUCUGUUGAGUUUUUUCCCCCUCUCUCUCCCCACAUCCCCCGACCCAUA